This 513-nucleotide ribosomal RNA is filed under the name Triticum aestivum (bread wheat). Its description in RNAcentral is "partial small subunit ribosomal RNA". The record is from RNAcentral. Lineage: Eukaryota; Viridiplantae; Streptophyta; Magnoliopsida; Poales; Poaceae.
AUGACAGCCGCAAGGGGAAUCAAUCCCCUGAAGCUACAGGGGUUUACUGAUGCUGAUUGGCAAGGGGAUCUUGAUGACCGGAAAUCAACUUCUGGUUAUAUGUUUACACUAGCAGGAGGAGCUAUUUCCUGGAGUAGCAAGAAGCAAGAUUCUGUAGCACUUUCAUCUAUGGAGGCUGAAUAUAUUGCUGUGUCGGAAGCUGUGAAAGAAGGUGUAUGGUUAAAGGAGUUUCUUGCGUCUCUCGUGGUGGUGGAAAGCGCUUCAUAUCCUGUUACUAUUUUCUGUGAUAACCAGGCGGCAAUCAAGGUCUCAAAGGAUCCAAAGUUUCAUAGCAAAACCAAACAUAUUGAGGGAAGGUAUCACUACAUUCGUGAUGUCGUUAAUAGAUUAAAAAUAGUUCGUUUAGAUUAUUUACCUAGUGUGGACAUGGUUGCUGAUCCACUUACUAAACCUCUUAGUCAGGAAGUAUUUUGUAAACAUGUUUGCAACAUGGGUCUUCGUUUCUGGAAUUAG